RNAcentral lists this ribosomal RNA (484 nucleotides) under uncultured bacterium. RNAcentral describes it as "partial 16S ribosomal RNA". It matches the Rfam family "Bacterial small subunit ribosomal RNA", at positions 30 to 507 of the family's 1533-position model. The record is from RNAcentral.
AUUGAACGCUGGCGGCAGGCCUAACACAUGCAAGUCGAGCGGAUGAAGGGAGCUUGCUCCUGGAUUCAGCGGCGGACGGGUGAGUAAUGCCUAGGAAUCUGCCUGGUAGUGGGGGAUAACGUCCGGAAACGGGCGCUAAUACCGCAUACGUCCUGAGGGAGAAAGUGGGGGAUCUUCGGACCUCACGCUAUCAGAUGAGCCUAGGUCGGAUUAGCUAGUUGGUGGGGUAAAGGCCUACCAAGGCGACGAUCCGUAACUGGUCUGAGAGGAUGAUCAGUCACACUGGAACUGAGACACGGUCCAGACUCCUACGGGAGGCAGCAGUGGGGAAUAUUGGACAAUGGGCGAAAGCCUGAUCCAGCCAUGCUGCGUGUGUGAAGAAGGUCUUCGGAUUGUAAAGCACUUUAAGUUGGGAGGAGGGGCAGUAAGUUAAUACCUUGCUGUUUUGACGUUACCAACAGAAUAAGCACCGGCUAACUUCGUG